This 212-nucleotide unclassified non-coding RNA is filed under the name Ascomycota sp. RNAcentral's name for it is "partial contains small subunit ribosomal RNA, internal transcribed spacer 1, and 5.8S ribosomal RNA". The stretch from base 1 to 47 matches the Rfam family "Eukaryotic small subunit ribosomal RNA", at positions 1785 to 1831 of the family's 1831-position model. Lineage: Eukaryota; Fungi; Ascomycota. The record is from RNAcentral.
AAAGUCGUAACAAGGUCUCCGUUGGUGAACCAGCGGAGGGAUCAUUACAGAGUGUAAAAACUCCCAACCCACUGUGAACCUACCAAAACGUUGCCUCGGCGCGGUCCCCAGGGGCUGCGCCGGGGGCCCUUAACUCUUGUAUCAUUGGAAUCUCUGAGUGGCUGAAAAGCAAAAAUAAGUUAAAACUUUCAACAACGGAUCUCUUGGCUCUG